AGUGAACGCUGGCGGUAGGCCUAACACAUGCAAGUCGAACGGCAGCACAGUAAGAGCUUGCUCUUACGGGUGGCGAGUGGCGGACGGGUGAGGAAUACAUCGGAAUCUACUUUUUCGUGGGGGAUAACGUAGGGAAACUUACGCUAAUACCGCAUACGACCUACGGGUGAAAGCAGGGGAUCUUCGGACCUUGCGCGAUUGAAUGAGCCGAUGUCGGAUUAGUUAGUUGGCGGGGUAAAGGCCCACCAAGGCGACGAUCCGUAGCUGGUCUGAGAGGAUGAUCAGCCACACUGGAACUGAGACACGGUCCAGACUCCUCCGGGAGGCAGCGGUGGGGAAUAUUGGACAAUGGGCGCAAGCCUGAUCCAGCCAUACCGCGUGGGUGAAGAAGGCCUUCGGGUUGUAAAGCCCUUUUGUUGGGAAAGAAAAGCAGCAGGUUAAUACCCCGCUGUUCUGACGGUACCCAAAGAAUAAGCACCGGCUAACUUCGUG
Molecule: ribosomal RNA, 492 nt
Filed under: uncultured bacterium
Lineage: Bacteria
Description: partial 16S ribosomal RNA
Rfam family: Bacterial small subunit ribosomal RNA
Source: RNAcentral